ACUCGACUCCGUGAACGUGGAAUCGCUAGUAAUCGUGGGUCAGCCAUACCACGGUGAAUACGUUCCCGGGCCUUGUACACACCGCCCGUCACACCACGAAAGCCUGCUGUACCCGAAGCUGGUGAGCCAACCCUCACGGGAGGCAGCCAUCUAAGGUAUGGCCGGUAAUUGGGGUGAAGUCGUAACAAGGUAGCCGUAGGGGAACCUGCGGCUGGAUCACCUCCUUU
RNAcentral lists this ribosomal RNA (227 nucleotides) under Actinomycetota bacterium. RNAcentral's name for it is "partial 16S ribosomal RNA". It matches the Rfam family "Bacterial small subunit ribosomal RNA", at positions 1310 to 1533 of the family's 1533-position model. Lineage: Bacteria; Bacillati; Actinomycetota. The record is from RNAcentral.